CAAAGCUGUAUACCAUUCAAG
This 21-nucleotide small nuclear RNA is filed under the name Arabidopsis thaliana (thale cress). Its description in RNAcentral is "snRNA_07372". Lineage: Eukaryota; Viridiplantae; Streptophyta; Magnoliopsida; Brassicales; Brassicaceae. The record is from RNAcentral.